Molecule: non-coding RNA, 234 nt
Filed under: Desulfopila aestuarii
Lineage: Bacteria; Pseudomonadati; Thermodesulfobacteriota; Desulfobulbia; Desulfobulbales; Desulfocapsaceae
Also listed under: 1 other name
Source: RNAcentral
UGUAUAACUGCUCUCGUAGGUGCGUCGGCUUCGGCGUUAAGAGGAAAGACGGUGUGAAUCCGUCACAAGCCAGUCCUUGCUGUAUGCGAAGGCUGCAACGGUCGUCGGCAUUUUCCUUGCCGUCGCAUCUCCUCCACAUGCAUUUGAUGGAGAUAGUCACUGGGAAACCGGGAAGGCUACCGUUAUGCAGGAUAAUUCGCGAGUCAGAAAGCCUGCCUGCAGGUUGCGCGGUUC